RNAcentral lists this ribosomal RNA (483 nucleotides) under uncultured bacterium. RNAcentral describes it as "partial 16S ribosomal RNA". It matches the Rfam family "Bacterial small subunit ribosomal RNA", at positions 28 to 523 of the family's 1533-position model. The record is from RNAcentral.
GACAAACGCUGGCGGCGUGCUUAACACAUGCAAGUCGAACGAUGAAGCUGGAGCUUGCUCCAGUGGAUUAGUGGCGAACGGGUGAGUAACACGUGAGCAAUCUGCCCUUGACUCUGGGAUAACUGCGGGAAACUGUAGCUAAUACCGGAUACGACACCUUGGGGCAUCCCGGGGUGUGGAAAGAAUUUCGGUCAAGGAUGAGCUCGCGGCCUAUCAGCUUGUUGGUGAGGUAAAGGCUCACCAAGGCGACGACGGGUAGCCGGCCUGAGAGGGUGACUGGCCACACUUGAACUGGGACACGGUCCAGACUCCUACGGGAGGCAGCAGGGGGGAAUAUUGCACAAUGGGCGAAAGCCUGAUGCAGCAACGCCGCGUGAGGGAUGACGGCCUUCGGGUUGUAAACCUCUUUUAGCAGGGAAGAAGCGAAAGUGACGGUACCUGCAGAAAAAGCACCGGCUAACUACGUGCCAGCAGCCGCCGUAA